UCGAAACCAACCAACCACGGUCGGAGAU
This 28-nucleotide small RNA is filed under the name Bombyx mori (domestic silkworm). RNAcentral's name for it is "ovarian small RNA-28130". Lineage: Eukaryota; Metazoa; Arthropoda; Insecta; Lepidoptera; Bombycidae. The record is from RNAcentral.